This 405-nucleotide ribosomal RNA is filed under the name uncultured bacterium. RNAcentral's name for it is "bacterial SSU rRNA". It matches the Rfam family "Bacterial small subunit ribosomal RNA", at positions 355 to 776 of the family's 1533-position model. The record is from RNAcentral.
UGGGGAAUAUUGCGCAAUGGGGGAAACCCUGACGCAGCGACGCCGCGUGCGGGAUGAAGGCCUUCGGGUUGUAAACCGCUUUCAGCAGGGGCGAAUUCAGACGGUACCUGCAGAAGAAGCGCCGGCUAACUACGUGCCAGCAGCCGCGGUAAUACGUAGGGCGCGAGCGUUGUCCGGAAUUAUUGGGCGUAAAGAGCUCGUAGGCGGCCUGUUGCGUCCGCUGUGAAGUCCCAGGGCUCAACCCUGGGCGUGCAGUGGAUACGGGCAGGCUGGAGGCAGGCAGGGGAGAACGGAAUUCCCGGUGUAGCGGUGAAAUGCGCAGAUAUCGGGAGGAACACCGGUGGCGAAGGCGGUUCUCUGGGCCUGUACUGACGCUGAGGAGCGAAAGCGUGGGGAGCGAACAGG